UACGUAGGGGGCUAGCGUUGUCCGGAAUCAUUGGGCGUAAAGCGCGUGUAGGCGGCCCGGUAAGUCCGCUGUGAAAGUCGGGGGCUCAACCCUCGAAAGCCGGUGGAUACUGUCGGGCUCGAGUGCGGAAGAGGCGAGUGGAAUUCCUGGUGUAGCGGUGAAAUGCGCAGAUAUCAGGAGGAACACCGAUUGCGAAGGCAGCUCGCUGGGACGUUACUGACGCUGAGACACGAAAGCGUGGGUAGCAAACAGG
This 253-nucleotide ribosomal RNA is filed under the name uncultured bacterium. RNAcentral describes it as "partial 16S ribosomal RNA". It matches the Rfam family "Bacterial small subunit ribosomal RNA", at positions 524 to 776 of the family's 1533-position model. The record is from RNAcentral.